RNAcentral lists this ribosomal RNA (497 nucleotides) under uncultured bacterium. RNAcentral describes it as "partial 16S ribosomal RNA". It matches the Rfam family "Bacterial small subunit ribosomal RNA", at positions 28 to 507 of the family's 1533-position model. The record is from RNAcentral.
GAUGAACGCUGGCGGCGUGCCUAAUACAUGCAAGUCGAGCGAACAGAUAAGGAGCUUGCUCCUUUGACGUUAGCGGCGGACGGGUGAGUAACACGUGGGUAACCUACCUAUAAGACUGGGAUAACUUCGGGAAACCGGAGCUAAUACCGGAUAACAUUUGGAACCGCAUGGUUCUAAAGUGAAAGAUGGUUUUGCUAUCACUUAUAGAUGGACCCGCGCCGUAUUAGCUAGUUGGUAAGGUAACGGCUUACCAAGGCGACGAUACGUAGCCGACCUGAGAGGGUGAUCGGCCACACUGGAACUGAGACACGGUCCAGACUCCUACGGGAGGCAGCAGUAGGGAAUCUUCCGCAAAAGGCGAAAGCCUGACGGAGCAACGCCGCGUGAGUGAUGAAGGGUUUCGGCUCGUAAAACUCUGUUAUUAGGGAAGAACAAAUGUGUAAGUAACUGUGCACGUCUUGACGGUACCUAAUCAGAAAGCCACGGCUAACUACGUG